This 253-nucleotide ribosomal RNA is filed under the name uncultured bacterium. RNAcentral describes it as "partial 16S ribosomal RNA". It matches the Rfam family "Bacterial small subunit ribosomal RNA", at positions 524 to 776 of the family's 1533-position model. The record is from RNAcentral.
UACGUAGGGUGCAAGCGUUGUCCGGAAUUAUUGGGCGUAAAGAGCUCGUAGGCGGUUUGUCGCGUCUGCUGUGAAAACGCGAGGCUCAACCUCGCGCCUGCAGUGGGUACGGGCAGACUAGAGUGCGGUAGGGGAGAUUGGAAUUCCUGGUGUAGCGGUGGAAUGCGCAGAUAUCAGGAGGAACACCGAUGGCGAAGGCAGAUCUCUGGGACGGUAUUGACGCUAAGGCGCGAAAGCGUGGGGAGCAAACAGG